RNAcentral lists this ribosomal RNA (373 nucleotides) under uncultured bacterium. Its description in RNAcentral is "bacterial SSU rRNA". It matches the Rfam family "Bacterial small subunit ribosomal RNA", at positions 523 to 898 of the family's 1533-position model. The record is from RNAcentral.
AUACGGAGGAUCCAAGCGUUAUCCGGAUUCACUGGGUUUAAAGGGUGCGUAGGCGGAUUAAUAAGUCAGUGGUGAAAUCCUGCAGCUUAACUGCAGAACUGCCGUUGAUACUGUUAGUCUUGAAUUUGAUUGAAGUGGCUGGAAUGUGUCAUGUAGCGGUGAAAUGCUUAGAUAUGACACAGAACACCGACAGCGAAGGCAGGUCACUAAGUCAGGAUUGACGCUGAGGCACGAAAGCGUGGGGAUCAAACAGGAUUAGAUACCCUGGUAGUCCACGCCCUAAACGAUGAUUACUCGUUGUUGGCGAUAUACAGUCAGUGACUGAGCGAAAGCAUUAAGUAAUCCACCUGGGGAGUACGUUCGCAAGAAUGAA